AAAGCGCACGUAGGCGGAUCUUUAAGUCAGGGGUGAAAUCCCGAGGCUCAACCUCGGAACUGCCUUUGAUACUGGGGAUCUCGAGUCCGGGAGAGGUGAGUGGAACUGCGAGUGUAGAGGUGAAAUUCGUAGAUAUUCGCAAGAACACCAGUGGCGAAGGCGGCUCACUGGCCCGGAACUGACGCUGAGGUGCGAAAGCGUGGGGAGCAAACAGGAUUAGAUACCCUUGU
This 230-nucleotide ribosomal RNA is filed under the name uncultured bacterium. RNAcentral's name for it is "partial 16S ribosomal RNA". It matches the Rfam family "Bacterial small subunit ribosomal RNA", at positions 562 to 791 of the family's 1533-position model. The record is from RNAcentral.